CGGGACACGUGGUAUCCUGUCUGAAUAUGGGGGGACCAUCCUCCAAGGCUAAAUACUCCUGACUGACCGAUAGUGAACCAGUACCGUGAGGGAAAGGCGAAAAGAACCCCGGCGAGGGGAGUGAAAAAGAACCUGAAACCGUGUACGUACAAGCAGUGGGAGCACGCUUAGGCGUGUGACUGCGUACCUUUUGUAUAAUGGGUCAGCGACUUAUAUUCUGUAGCAAGGUUAACCGAAUAGGGGAGCCGAAGGGAAACCGAGUCUUAACUGGGCGUUAAGUUGCAGGGUAUAGACCCGAAACCCGGUGAUCUAGCCAUGGGCAGGUUGAAGGUUGGGUAACACUAACUGGAGGACCGAACCGACUAAUGUUGAAAAAUUAGCGGAUGACUUGUGGCUGGGGGUGAAAGGCCAAUCAAACCGGGAGAUAGCUGGUUCUCCCCGAAAGCUAUUUAGGUAGCGCCUCGUGAAUUCAUCUCCGGGGGUAGAGCACUGUUUCGGCAAGGGGGUCAUCCCGACUUACCAACCCGAUGCAAACUGCGAAUACCGGAGAAUGUUAUCACGGGAGACACACGGCGGGUGCUAACGUCCGUCGUGAAGAGGGAAACAACCCAGACCGCCAGCUAAGG
RNAcentral lists this ribosomal RNA (626 nucleotides) under Escherichia coli. Its description in RNAcentral is "partial 23S ribosomal RNA". It matches the Rfam family "Bacterial large subunit ribosomal RNA", at positions 418 to 1044 of the family's 2925-position model. Lineage: Bacteria; Pseudomonadati; Pseudomonadota; Gammaproteobacteria; Enterobacterales; Enterobacteriaceae. The record is from RNAcentral.